RNAcentral lists this ribosomal RNA (511 nucleotides) under uncultured bacterium. RNAcentral describes it as "partial 16S ribosomal RNA". The record is from RNAcentral.
GGAGUUAGCCGGUGCUUCUUCUGUGAGUGAUGUCCUUCCUGCCGGCUAUUAACCCGCAGGCCUUCUUCCUCACUGAAAGUGCUUUACAACCCGAAGGCCUUCUUCACACACGCGGCAUGGCUGGAUCAGGGUUGCCCCCAUUGUCCAAUAUUCCCCACUGCUGCCUCCCGUAGGAGUCUGGGCCGUGUCUCAGUCCCAGUGUGGCUGAUCAUCCUCUCAGACCAGCUACGGAUCGUCGCCUUGGUGAGCCGUUACCUCACCAACCAGCUAAUCCGACAUAGGCUCAUCCGAUAGCGCGAGGCCCGAAGGUCCCCCGCUUUCCCCCGUAGGGCGUAUGCGGUAUUAGCCUGGGUUUCCCCAGGUUAUCCCCCACUACCGGGCAGAUUCCUAUGCAUUACUCACCCGUCCGCCGCUCGCCACCAGGGAGCAAGCUCCCCGUGCUGCCGCUCGACUUGCAUGUGUUAGCGUCGCCGCCACGCGUUCAUACUGAACCAACGAUACAACUUACUGA